GGGGACAGAACGUCCUAACCGAGCAGGAGGAAAGCCUGGAAAGAAACUGCUGGCCAGGACCUGAACCGGGCGCAUCUCACGAAGAUCACCGCGAGUUCAGGGCAGAGCAAAGAACUGUUGUAUAAUGAAGAUGUGAAUUAUUUGUGGAUGCUAAUGGCAACUGCUAACAUCUAAUGAGUCAGGGAUUGUGUCCAAGGAUUUAUGUACAUUAUCUUGAGUCUCAAAACCUAUGAGGUUGUGUCCUGUCCCCUUGCCUCGAGUUUCAAAAACCACAACACCAUCUAGCAAGGGCACCUGUUGUACCUCGUUUCUGAAGAGUGAGCCUGGGCUGCAAUGAAUUGAUGGCUGGAUCUGCAUUGCCAUUUUGUAACCUUGAGAGAAAAGUCUGGAGAAUCAUAGGUGCAUCAGCCCUGACAACACUGACUCGGAGAACCAAGAUCAGCAUUUAACUCCUUGGUCAAAAAUAUGCAGCGCCCACACGCGCAAAAGGAGUCCCCUGGUGGCCUAGCAGGCUGCAGCCAUCUCAGCUGCUAUCACCAUUGGAUGUACCAAGAGGAGCCACCAUGGCACCACUCAUCACCACAGCGGCCACUUGUUAGGUUUACCAACGGAGGAACACGCACGGCCAAGUCGAUAAAGCAAGAGAGAUUUAUGAAGGCAUCUGAAACAGAUGGGCUGAGUUCAAGAUGGCGCCACCCUGAUGCAGCCGUCGAGUCUGUUGUGACCACAUCUACCACUAUCUCCUCAGUCUCCAUUGCCUCUGCCGCCAUCUUUUCCGCCGUCUCCUCAGUGGAAGUC
Molecule: long non-coding RNA, 798 nt
Filed under: Sus scrofa (pig)
Lineage: Eukaryota; Metazoa; Chordata; Mammalia; Artiodactyla; Suidae
Description: lncRNA (ENSSSCG00005028336.1)
Source: RNAcentral